Molecule: RNA transcript, 1926 nt
Organism: Triticum aestivum (bread wheat)
Lineage: Eukaryota; Viridiplantae; Streptophyta; Magnoliopsida; Poales; Poaceae
Gene name: ADP-ribosylation factor-binding protein GGA3
Exons: 8
Source: RefSeq, a predicted model, not a curated record
UCGCUUCCCAUUCCAUCCAUCCUAUCCAGGAAGAAAGCUUCUCUCUUUUCCCCUCGCCUCGCCGGGAGGAAAUCCCCAAAACCCUAGCCGUCGCUGUCGCCGUCGCCGAUGCCGUCGCCGAUGCCGCGCAGACGUAGCCGACGCCCUCCCCCUCCACCACCAGAAUCAGAUGCAUCACCCCUUCCCGUGCCCUCCCCUCCCCCACCAGCUACAGCGUCGCCAUCAGCUGCAUCGUCCAGGUCCUCGGCCACCUCCCCUCCACCACCGGCCGCUGCAGCCUCGACAGGUCGCUCCCCUCCACCACCAGCCGCAGCCUCCACAAGCCGAUCCCCUCCCCUCCCCUGGACUCCACCGCCGGCGGCAGCCUCCACAAGCCGAUCCCCUCCCCGACCCUGGACUCCACCGCCGGCGACAGCCUCCACAAGCCGAUCCCCUCCUCUCCCCUCCUCUCCACCACCAGUUGCAGCCUCCACAAGCCAACCCUCUCCCCUCCUCUGCUCUCCACCACCAGCCGCAGCCUCCACAAGCCAACCCCCUCCCCGCCACGACCUAACCCCCUCCCGGUCUCUCCACCAUCAGCUGCAGCCUCCACGGGAACUCUUCACCGACAUAGACGGGGUAUCUCGACGCCUCGUGGAUGUGAAUGUGACCGUGGAAGGCUGCUCCUACAGUCGGCCACAGCUUCCACCCUGUGAGGACACUGAGCAGGCAGUGCGUAUUGAGGCCCCACCAUCGCCAAACCACUUUCCACCUGUUUCGGCAUUGAUGCCAAGAGGAUUACUAAUUAAGUAUUUUCUGAGGGUUGAUGCUGGUGGACUCUUCCACACAUAUCCUCAUCGAGGUGGUCCGUUUAAGAGCUUACAAGAAGCUCAGGAUGCUAUAUACUCCUAUCACAUUAAUCUGUGUAAAUUCAAGUACUUGGGUGGGCUUUCCAAAGAGGACAGGUAUGUUUGGCAUACACUAUAUUGGCGUAAUGGCACAAGGAAGAACUCGAAAGAAGCUUUGGAUGUAAUGAUGAACUAUAACCCCACUCGGGAAGUAGUUAAAGCUUUACUGGACAAGCACAAUGAGGACCAUCUUUUGGAGGAUCUUGCAUAUGAAAUCAAGAAAGUUGUGAGUUACAAAGCUCACUUCCCAAGAAAAGGUUCUCAGCAUGAAUGCAGGUCCUUCUCACAUUUAAAUGUGCUUGUAGAAAGAGGACCUAAUGCCAUCGAAGAUCUUCUCUUCAUUGAAAUGACCUGCACAACAGAUGGUGAAUUUGAGGAAUACACGCUUAGUUGCAUUUGUGUGGUUUCAUCCGAAGAUGAUGAUUUACAUUGCCAAUAAAAUCAUGCUCGGUUCUACCGGUAGCCAAUAUAAGGAUACUCCACAAGACCAUGCUGUGAGUGCUGUGAAUGCGGUGAUGAUGUGAAGCAUCCCACUGGUGCGGAGUACAAAAAGUGUGAAGCCAAGCCCCAUGUUCGGUGCAGGAAGCCUAUAUCAGAAGAAGAAUUUAAUGAGUUUAUUGUUGUGCGCGAUGAAGAUUGGCUGGAGACGGAAGAGGCUGCGGUGAGGUGGCAAUUCAGGAUGCGCAACGCAGCAGAUGGCCAUGGAGCGAGGGGCAAAUACAUCGUACCGGCAAAACGUGUGCAGGCAUAGAUGUAGAGUCGAUGGGGCCUAGUGCUUGCUUUGCUGUAUGCCAUUCUUGUGCUGCGUUCGUUUUUGGUACCUGUGAUGCUGAGUCAGUACUAUGUGUCUUGAGUGUUUGGCUUGCUGAUGUAGAAGCCUCGUCUGGGUGGAGGAUAAGCUGGUGUGAAGAUCCUGUGCAGAACCCGUGUUUAUGGUGUAGGUGAACCCAAGUUUUGCGGGAGUAAGCUGGCAAAACGAAAGUGACCAUGUGCUUUGUUGGUGAUUUUGUUUGGUAAAGCAAUGUGCUCUUGCAGUGGA